GUGGGGAUGGGGGGUGGCGAGACCAGACCUCCUCGUCCCUGGGACCCGCUGCGUCGUGUAACCGCUGGACGAGAAGCUGCGGAGACGGAGGCACAUCACUCGCACGGCGGGCGCACAGCAAUGGCAGGCGGAGCGACACCUCUCCCUGCUCUCGGCUCCGCGAGCAACGGCCGAGUGGCGUCGGCGCGGGGCGGACCAUUACGCGCAGCGGAGGGUGUGCGGCGCCGGGGGGGGGGACGGGGACACUCGUCCGUUUACCAUGAAACCUCCUCCCUGGCGGGCGCUUUCUCACUGAACCACGUCCUGGUGGCAGUUACUCUUCCAGCCCUCUGUUCAUUUGGUUGUUUUGUGUCUAUUGGCCACGGCUGAAGGAGCGCGUCCACCCCCGCUGCCCCCGCGGAAUGGACAGUCCGGGAUACGACGAGGAGAAGCGACGCUGCUGAGAGAAAAGAGCACUUUCCCCGUGUGCUGACGGACACGGUGUUGGUGGUGGUGGUGUCUGUGAGAGGCUGCGUGAUUCCCUCCUGUGUGCGGUUCACUCAUGGCUGCAGCGUCCGGCUGUGGCUCUGGCUCUGUUUCAACUUACUAUCGGAAACCCUCUGGAGAAAUGAGACCGACUGAAGUUCUCCAUCAAUCCGUGUCACAUUAUUGUCGACCAGGUCAACUAUGGCUACACUGGGUAGCCUUUCAUCUGGAGCCAUGCAGUCGCCGUCUUCCAUAUCCAGCCACAGCACAAGCCAUUAAUCACACCCUCCAUCAUAUCACAUCGUGCAUUGAGCACAACUGUUUCCAGAGGCACUGUGCAGACGAGCAGUAGAGCGGCGUCUGGCCAAACAGAGAACUGCAGCAUGGUUAGAACAUCAAUGGAACAAAUGAAGAGGUUUAGAUGGAAAAAUAAGAUUGAAGAUCGAAGAGUCUACGGCCAUGCUAGCAGCUCUGUGAGGCUUUACCUAAAGGUAUCAGACAAACGGAAAAAAUUGACCCGAUGAUGGCACGAGAGGAAACGUCUGAAGAUCAUCAAAGUCGUUGCUGUUUAUGCCGGGGGGACGUGAAUGUGUGUAUCGCAUUUCAUGGCAAUCCAUUUCUACAACCACCAUGAGUUGCAAGUGGAAAAGUCAGAAGAUCACCACAGUCACAAUGCUCCUUUGUCUGGAACCGUGGAUGUACAAAAUUUCCUAUCAAUCCAUCUAAAAAGGUCAACCUGUUGGUGAUGCUCGGGGGAAAAUGGCAGAGAUAAACAAAGACGUAUCCCCUGGAGACGAUAAAUGUCUGUACAAUUUUCGCCGCCAAUUAUUCCAACAAUUUUCCAAGACAUUUCGGUCUAGACAAAAGUGUUGGACUGACUGAUCAAGAGACCAACAUUGCCAUGCCAAGAGUUAUAACUUGUUUUUCCAUCAAGUUUCACGGUAUCUACGUAAAUGACAUUAACUACUAGCAGGACUCCAAAAGUGAACUUUAAGGAGUAACCAUACCUGCAGUUGCCAAUUACUGUACUAUUAUGUAUACUAUGUACUUCCUUAAUUCAUUCACAACCACAGAAGAAAGGUUAUCCUGUGUAGGGACAGUCUGGAGUGCUGUUAUUUGGAGACAUGUAGCUCUUGUACUAAAUUUACCAUGGACUGUUUUCAGUCACUGAUAGCGAACCAGGCCCCUUUUAAUCUUCUGAAGACAUUUACUCCAAGAGGCAGCCUGUGAUCAACCAACCAAAAGAGGCAUCUCUCAUUUUCGUCUCUCUCUCUUGCUCUUCCUCUUCUCAACGGACAAGCAUUGCUGAGCCGUUUAUAGCCAGAGAACAGUCUCUGCUGCAGUGAACCUGGUUGAACUCCACUCUGCUUCUCAGCAAUAUCUCAAGUAGCUUAAAAAGUAAUGGCCCGAGUUGCAGGUCUACUUUACAUUCCACCACUUUCCCUCUUCUGUGAUUAUUUCUCAGCGAAUUUAACGGCCCGUUACCAUACACUUCCCUCAAACAUAUCUGAAUAUUGAAUGUUGAAUCUCUCUCUCUUUUUUUCUCCUUGUUAAGUUUGAGGUAAGCACACAUUAACAGUCAAUACACCGUAUGCAUUUGAUGAGGAAGCACUAGUCAUUACGUCAUGCUUUCCAUCCACGUGACAGACAACCCCAUUGUUUGCUGCAGAAUGAGACUGUAAAUUAAAAAUACUGCAAAUCCCAAGGUACAAUCUGCAGUGCACUCAGCUCAGUCUGGUGUGUGUGUAUGUGUGUGUGUCUGUGUUGCCAGUAAAUACUUCAUGAAAAACAAUCCAAACUUUUCCCUUGAUUGUUCCAACUACAUAGCAGACAAUGCAAAUAACUUCAAGCAGCAUGUUGUUGCUGCCCAGUCGUAUUUGUUCAUAUAAGGUAAAUGCAUUACACAGUGUCUGUUGUACUUGUGUGUCCUCCAGCUCAAAAAUACAGCAUGUUCCCCCCCAAAGUGCCAUAUCACACUACAGUACGGACGAUCACAUCUUUCUCUAUUGAUAAUGAUCCGCUUUUUAAAGCUGAUAACAAAAUCUACCAAAAGAAAUCAGAAGGACACUAAUAAUCAGUAAUAAUAAAAAGUGAGAGACAAGGAGGUCACAGAAAAAGAAAAAGGGGUUUUUCAAUUGAAAAAAAAUCGCUUGUUAUCACAGAGAAGUGUUAAAUAACUUGUACCCAGGCUGCACCUACAUGUGAUCAUCCAAUAAAGGUGCACUAAGUGACGGGUGGGUGCAUGGAAAUAUUUUGCAGACACGUUACUCUGCUGCGCAUACUAUACACAGUAAGCAAUUCAGCAAUGUGGGGAAGACAGAUUAAAUAAGGCAAAAUAUCAGUGUUUCAUAGGAUUUUUUCUCUCUCAUUUGUCAUUUAAUUGCUGCUGCUGAACUAUUAAGAGUUAAGUGUCUUGUGAAAUCGAGCAGUGCAAGAUGUUUUUACCGGUGAUGUUUUAAUCUGUGAGGGCAAGAAAAGACAACUGUACCCUGAAUUAUUACAAAAUGUAGAACAACUUAUUUUAGAUGUGGGGCUCGACAUAAGAUGGGGGAAAUGUGGGUCUUACAGCAGCCCACACAUAAGGAAUACCGGUAAAAAAUUUGUAUCAGCAUCACACUGCACACAGUGUGACAAGUUAGACUGCGGCGGACGGCCGGUUUGAGUAAUUAAUGGGAAACACUGCAGUGACGUAUGGCUUCAGAAACUGUGAGGUAGAGCCACUGAGGUACUGCAACAACUCACACAUAAAAAGUCGGCCUUAAGGCCUCACCUCUAACAGCCGAGACACAUUAACAGUCACAAAGUGGGAAGCCACACAUAAAUAUACAGUAAUUAUUCCGCACUGUUACUUUUAACAGGUUUAUGUGUCACCCCGAACUGAGUGAGGGAGGGUGCAGUAAAAGCAGCAGUUAAACUGUCGGGAGGCGCUUCCCAGUAAA
This is a long non-coding RNA of Scophthalmus maximus (turbot), 3404 nucleotides long. RefSeq lists it as uncharacterized. The transcript has 3 exons. The record is from RefSeq and is a predicted model, not a curated record. Lineage: Eukaryota; Metazoa; Chordata; Actinopteri; Pleuronectiformes; Scophthalmidae.